GCCAGAGGAGGCAAGCGUUAUCCGGAAUUACUGGGCGUAAAGCGUCCGUAGGUGGUCUGACAAGUCUGGGGUUAAAGCCCGGAGCCUAACUCCGGAUCGGCCCUGGAAACUGCCAGACUAGAGUAAGGUAGGGGUUGCGGGAAUUCCCGGUGUAGCGGUGAAAUGCGUAGAUAUCGGGAAGAACACCAGUGGCGAAAGCGCGCAACUGGGCCAUUACUGACACUGAGGGACGAAAGCUAGGGGAGCGAAUGGG
RNAcentral lists this ribosomal RNA (253 nucleotides) under uncultured bacterium. RNAcentral's name for it is "partial 16S ribosomal RNA". It matches the Rfam family "Bacterial small subunit ribosomal RNA", at positions 524 to 776 of the family's 1533-position model. The record is from RNAcentral.